GUGGGGAAUCUUGCGCAAUGGGCGAAAGCCUGACGCAGCCAUGCCGCGUGAAUGAUGAAGGUCUUAGGAUUGUAAAAUUCUUUCACCGGGGACGAUAAUGACGGUACCCGGAGAAGAAGCUCCGGCUAACUUCGUGCCAGCAGCCGCGGUAAUACGAAGGGGGCUAGCGUUGCUCGGAAUUACUGGGCGUAAAGGGCGCGUAGGUGGACAGCUUAGUCAGAGGUGAAAGCCCAGGGCUCAACCUUGGAAUUGCCUUUGAUACUGGCUGUCUUGAGUUUGGGAGAGGUGAGUGGAACUCCGAGUGUAGAGGUGAAAUUCGUAGAUAUUCGGAAGAACACCAGUGGCGAAGGCGACUCACUGGCCCGUUACUGACGCUGAGGCGCGAAAGCGUGGGGAGCAAACAGGAUUAGAUACCCGGGUAGUCC
RNAcentral lists this ribosomal RNA (425 nucleotides) under uncultured bacterium. Its description in RNAcentral is "partial 16S ribosomal RNA". It matches the Rfam family "Bacterial small subunit ribosomal RNA", at positions 354 to 796 of the family's 1533-position model. The record is from RNAcentral.